UCUUCAUCUCAAGGAGGAUCAGUUGGAGUAUCUCGAGGAGCGGAGGCUUAAGGAUUUGGUCAAGAAGCACUCUGAGUUUAUCAGCUACCCUAUCUCCUUGUGGGUUGAGAAGACUGUUGAGAAGGAGAUUUCUGAUGAUGAGGAUGAGGAGGAGAAGAAGGAUGAGGAAGGCAAGGUGGAGGAGGUAGAUGAGGAGAAAGAGAAGAAGAAGAAGAAGAUUAAGGAGGUUUCUCACGAGUGGGAGUUGGUGAACAAGCAGAAGCCUAUUUGGAUGAGGAAGCCUGAGGAGAUCACCAAGGAGGAGUACGCUGCUUUCUACAAG
Molecule: long non-coding RNA, 322 nt
Filed under: Brassica rapa (field mustard)
Lineage: Eukaryota; Viridiplantae; Streptophyta; Magnoliopsida; Brassicales; Brassicaceae
Description: long non-coding RNA (BRAP_LNC000916)
Source: RNAcentral